UUGUUUAUUGUUUUUUUAUUUUUUAUAUUAUUAAAAAUAAACAAUAAUUAUAAUCUAUAGGUACAGUAAUAUAAUAGUAAAUAAGCAAUUUUGAUUGCAUGAUUAAGUGACCGCGGUAUUAGUAGUAGAAUAAAUAUUGGGAAGGCACUCAGCAGUGGAACCCGACAACGUUUCAUUUAAAGUCGAAGUGAUGCCUUUUUAACCAAGACCAAGAGUUUGUCUUAGAAAUAAAAUUGGUAAUUUCUAUUAAUGUAACUACCUAGUCUUGAGGUAUACAUGCUGCGUAUUUAUUUAGUUCUAUACAGUGAAACAUAAGGAUUGCACCGAAAUCUGCAAAAUCAAACCAUGUCUGUGUAUAAAGCUUAAAUUGGUUAUCAAAAUGAACACGGAUCGCUUAACGGAUGACGUGUGUAGUUUGUACGACCAGUGGCUGUGUGGACCGCUGGCCACCAACUUGGAGUUCCACAGUGAGUUGUUAACACUCAUCGGUGUUCUCAAAAAGAUCAUAAAAGACUUAAACAGUACGACCGGCAAUCAUGGUGAACUGGAGUCGUUAAUAAAACGCCAUAGUCAAUGCCAGAGCAAGUAUCAGAUAUUGUUAACGCAAUUGGACCAAUAUAAUAUGCCGAGUCAACUCAGAGAACGUUGCGAAUGUACGCCGAACGACGGGGGAAAAAAAUAAAAAAAAUUUACAAAUAAACAUCACUAAUGUUACAUAGGUUUUAUUUUUUACAAGUAGUAAUAUGUAGUUUCAACGUUACUAAUUCAUAAUCUUGUUUUAAUUAUUUAAUUAUUUUGAAUAUAAUAAUAUAAUAUAAUUUUAAAAUUUUAAACAUAAUGGUAUAUGAUACUAUAUACAGGGUGGUCAGUGGAAAACGGAUGUUUUUGCAAUUGGUAUAACUGGGAAUAGCAUGGUCCCCCAAGGUUGCUGGCACUGUUAUCUUGUAACUCGGGAAUGUAAUUUUAGUAGUCAUGGACAAGUGGAGCGUUUUUGCUGUUUCCGAAUUUAUUCUGAAAUGGCGAGUCAAUUGUAUCCACGCGACGUGCUUUCCGUCGUCGGUUUAAACUUGGUGUACGUGACAUUGUUCCAGCGCGUAACACAAUUUUGCGGUGGGUAAACAAUUUUCGUACACAUGGUAGUGUGGCGGAAAAGAAAAAACUCGGUCCUACACCAGCAGUAGUUACGCCUGAAAAUGUUGAACGUGUAAGAGUGUCCGUUUUGCAGAGUCCACGUCGGUCCACCAGACGCCGCUCUCAAUCGCUAGACAUUGCUCGCACAAGUUUAAUGACAAUUUUGAAUAAACAAUUGAAGUUCCACCCUUACAAAAUAGUGAUCGUUCAAAAACUUCAACCGACUGACUACACUCAACGUGAACAGUUUAGGAGGCGCAUGUUUCAAAUUUUUAAAGAUCCACAUGCAGUGGUGAUGUUGACGGAUGAAGCCCACUUCCAUUUAGACGGUUAUGUUAACAAACAAAACUGUCGAUAUUGGGCUGCUCAAAACCCGCGAGAAUUGCAUCAUCGGCCUCUACACAGUCAAAAAGUAACGGUAUGGUGUGGAAUUUCCCACCUCGGAAUAAUUGGGCACUAUUUUUUCGAAAACGAGUGAGAAGAAGCAGUGACUAUCAACUCUGAGCGUUACCUCAGUAUGCUCCAAGAAUUUCUCAUCCCUCAUCUCGAAGAAAAUUAAGUUGACUUAGAAAAAAUCUGGUUUCAACAAGACGGAGCCACGGCUCACACCACGAGAGUUUCCAUUGCUUUUUUGCAAACAAUAUUCCCCGGGCGCGUUAUUUCCUGACAUGGUGACGUUCCCUGGCCUCCGCGCUCCCCCGAUAUCACUCCCUGUGACUUUUUCCUUUGGAGCUACGUAAAGUCAAAAGUGUAUGUGGACAAAUCAAGAAACAUUCAGGAGUUGAAGGAGUCAAUUAGACGUGAAAUUGUCGAAAUUCCGGACGAUAUGGUGAAGAAAGUGAUGGGCAACUUCAGGGACCGUCUUGUAUUAUAAGAAAAAUACAGUUAAACAAGAAGUCGGGCACUUUCAAGCGAAAUCAUUUUAUAGUCACAAUUCACAACUCACACUUACAAUUUGAAACAGAAUAUCAAAAAUAAUAUUACUGAAUACUAAUUUUUUUCUGCAUUGUUUUUUUUUUACCUUUCUAUUUAUUUAAUAUAAAUUACAUUUGUGAAAUUGUAAAUGCUAAAGGAUAAAAAAUUACAAAAACAUAUUUUUGCACUAGAACAAUAAUUAGUUAACUAUAGUAACGAUUUUCUUUUAAUUACUUAUUGAAAUAUUUGAAAAUUAAUAACAGCAUCUUGACGAUUUCAAUUACAAGUAAAUAUUAUAGGUAGUUCAACAAUCAUCAAUUAUUCAUCAGUAAUAAUUGGGUAGAGAUAUUUUUUAAAUAAUCAAAGAAACAUUAUAAAA
Molecule: unclassified non-coding RNA, 2425 nt
Filed under: Acyrthosiphon pisum (pea aphid)
Lineage: Eukaryota; Metazoa; Arthropoda; Insecta; Hemiptera; Aphididae
Description: uncharacterized LOC100572737, transcript variant X1
Source: RNAcentral